ACUAUGUGUGGAGAAGACACUUAAAGUUUGUAUUUGUCCACUGUGGAUAUGGGCUCCGCCCUGUGAUGUUCAGUCUUUUCCCACAACAUCGGAGAUAGAGCUGGGCCAUAAAUCUGUACCUGCAUAUUCCUAUGGCUCCUCAGAGACCUAUGGACAAUGACUGCAGAGAUAGAAAAAGCAGGAAACAUCC
Small nucleolar RNA from Vulpes vulpes (red fox), 190 nucleotides. Its record names the gene SNORA73. It matches the Rfam family "Small nucleolar RNA SNORA73 family". From Rfam's summary of the family: U17 (SNORA73A and SNORA73B) also known as E1 belongs to the H/ACA class of small nucleolar RNAs (snoRNAs). Vertebrate U17 is intron-encoded and ranges in length from 200-230 nucleotides, longer than most snoRNAs. It is one of the most abundant snoRNAs in human cells and is essential for the cleavage of pre-rRNA within the 5' external transcribed spacer (ETS). NCBI's taxonomy places the organism in Eukaryota, Metazoa, Chordata, Mammalia, Carnivora, Canidae. The record is from Ensembl.